GACGAACGCUGGCGGCGUGCCUAAUACAUGCAAGUUGAGCGCUGAAGGUUGGUACUUGUACCAACUGGAUGAGCAGCGAACGGGUGAGUAACGCGUGGGGAAUCUGCCUUUGAGCGGGGGACAACAUUUGGAAACGAAUGCUAAUACCGCAUAAAAACUUUAAACACAAGUUUUAAGUUUGAAAGAUGCAAUUGCAUCACUCAAAGAUGAUCCCGCGUUGUAUUAGCUAGUUGGUGAGGUAAAGGCUCACCAAGGCGAUGAUACAUAGCCGACCUGAGAGGGUGAUAGGCCACAUUGAGACUGAGACACGGCCCAAACUACGUAGGGAGGCAGCAGUAGGGAAUCUUCGGCAAUGGAAGAAAGUCUGACCGAGCAACGCCGCGCGAGUGAAGAAGGUUUUCGGAUCGUAAAACUCUGUUGGUAGGGAAGAACGUUGGUGAGAGUGGAAAGCUCAUAAAGUGACGGUAACUACCCAGAAAGGGACGGCUAACUACGUG
Molecule: ribosomal RNA, 497 nt
Filed under: uncultured bacterium
Lineage: Bacteria
Description: partial 16S ribosomal RNA
Rfam family: Bacterial small subunit ribosomal RNA
Source: RNAcentral